Molecule: long non-coding RNA, 430 nt
Filed under: Cicer arietinum (chickpea)
Lineage: Eukaryota; Viridiplantae; Streptophyta; Magnoliopsida; Fabales; Fabaceae
Description: long non-coding RNA (CARI_LNC000997)
Source: RNAcentral
GCAUCCAUGUCUUCAUUAUUUGAUACCUCGAAGAAUUGAAAUUCAUCCAUAAGCUUCCUUUUGCACGAAACGAACGGCUUCGGUUUUUUCGGCGCCGGUGGACACGUCAUGAUCUCCGGUAUCUUGCUUUCCUUUGAAGUCGGAGUCCGGUAACUCUCUUCGUUUUCUCCAUCGGCGACGACAGCACCGACAACAGCUUCGCUUUCGCUUUGGCUUUCGUUUUCGUCUUCUUUUUCAAUUUCAAUUUGAAUUUGAAUUUCGCUUUUGAUUUUGAUUUCAGGUGGUGCGAUUACGGUUGACGACAUGGCGUGGACGUGGUCGGGAAUUUGAUCGGCGGAUGAGAUUCGGAGCUUAGGUAGUUGGUGGUGGAUGUGGAGAUCGGUGGACAUGGCCCGUGAAGGAAGGGGGUGUUUGGAUGGUGAGAAAUGAA